UCCAGUCCAUGUCCACAUACUCCUCUUCCAGAAUUCAGCAUAUGGUUAGCUUCCAAGCAAUCCAACCAUAAAUACCCAUCCAUGUUCUCAUGUUCUCCCAUCCCUUGCCCAAACUGCAACUCCUACACACUCAAAGUGAGAACCAUAUUUAUAUGUAUAUAUACAUAUAUUAUAUAUAAUAUCUAGUCGCAUCUCGUCUCUUGCACACACCACGAGUCAGAUCCGUUUAUCCUGCUGCUUUGCCUCGUAUCAACCCCAAUGGUCCACGCAGCCACUCCAUUAUUGUAUACAGUUUCUUUCUGAGUCAACUAGUCCUCUCUAUCUCUCUCUCUAGCUCACAUCUCCUGUGAGAACUGAGAAGUGAGAGCAUCACGUUUGACCUUGCCUGGUAGCAGCCCAAGGGUACGGAGCACACAUAGGCAUGAGGUUUCGCAGAGGCAAGAGCUCCAACGAGGCCAAGAAGGGCUCCGCUGCUCCAUGGCAGAAUGGAGAGAGGAAGGUCGUCGUUGAUGGAGGAGGAGCUGGCUCCAACAGCAGGCAGGUGGCGCCGGACACCGGCUUCGGAAAUGUUGACGACGGACAACCACAAUCAAAUCUGAUAGAACACUAUACCAUCUCCCAACCAGAUAAUUGCAUACAGAUGUUGAUGCCAAAAAGACAUCCGGUCCCAUAUCAACGGAAGGAAACCCAUCAGAGCAUCUUCAGCAGUCCAACUAUCAUAUCGGAAGAGUAGAUAAGAAACUACUGCUCCAGAAGUCUUCCAAAACUUUUCUCUUUUCCCAAUAAUUAUUGGGACAUCUCUGCAAUUCACCCCACCUCUCCCUAAAUAAAGAGGUGAGUUGUGACUCUCCCAAUAAAAUAGUUGGAUUGAGAGAAGGUUAUUGGGAACUGCAAAAGCAACUCUUCCAAUAAUCCUAAAACUAUUAUUAGAAUAUAUCACAAUACCAAUUAUUUGGAAAAAAUUAUUGAGGGACUGCUAGAGAUGCUCUCACCAUGCUAUCCUUUUGGGGCAGAUGAAAUGUUGACAUUCCUCUGCAUCUCUUGAUGAUGCUGGAGAAGAAGUGGCGGAAACAUGCGCAUCCUCCUUUAUUAGGGGGAAGCAGAAAAAGAAAAGGGCCUCCGCAAAUUUGUGCGCGAUUAUCUCCCUUGCAGUUGAAACAAUUCUCAUUACUAAACAUGAUCGUGCUUUUACGCCUGGACCACACCGUGAUCAUGACUUGGUUGCCUGCCGUUUUCCACGGUUGAACUAGUGAUCAUACUGUUCCGUUCUCUGUCACUGUCAUGGUUAUUAUGUCCAAACUCCAAACUGAGCUGUGAUGAUGGUCUUAUUAGUUGCCUGACUGGGUUUUGCAGGUAGCAGCAGAGAUGAAACAUUCUUUGAAGCCACCCCUUGGUUGGAAUCAGAUUGCGAGGAUGAUUUCUACAGCGUCAAUGGAGAUCUGACCCCUGCAAGAUCACUCACGUCGCAAACCAGCCGGGUCGCGCCGUGUGCAGCCGCCAAGGAUCU
Molecule: RNA transcript, 1507 nt
Organism: Panicum virgatum (switchgrass)
Lineage: Eukaryota; Viridiplantae; Streptophyta; Magnoliopsida; Poales; Poaceae
Exons: 3
Source: RefSeq, a predicted model, not a curated record